AUUGAACGCUGGCGGCAGGCCUAACACAUGCAAGUCGAACGGUAGCACAGAGAGCUUACUCUCGGGUGACGAGUGGCGGACGGGUGAGUAAUGUCUGGGAAACUGCCCGAUGGAGGGGGAUAACUACUGGAAACGGUAGCUAAUACCGCAUAACGUCGCAAGACCAAAGUGGGGGACCUUCGGGCCUCACACCAUCGGAUGUGCCCAGAUGGGAUUAGCUAGUAGGUGGGGUAAUGGCUCACCUAGGCGACGAUCCCUAGCUGGUCUGAGAGGAUGACCAGCCACACUGGAACUGGAACACGGUCCAGACUCCUACGGGAGGCAGCAGUGGGGAAUAUUGCACAAUGGGCGCAAGCCUGAUGCAGCCAUGCCGCGUGUAUGAAGAAGGCCUUCGGGUUGUAAAGUACUUUCAGCGGGGGAGGAAGGCGGUGAAGUUAAUAGCUUCACCGAUUGACGUUACCCGCAGAAGAAGCACCGGCUAACUCCGUGCCAGCCGCCGCCGUAA
RNAcentral lists this ribosomal RNA (505 nucleotides) under uncultured bacterium. Its description in RNAcentral is "partial 16S ribosomal RNA". It matches the Rfam family "Bacterial small subunit ribosomal RNA", at positions 30 to 523 of the family's 1533-position model. The record is from RNAcentral.